GGUAAACCACUGCCGGCUGUAUUAUAUCCUGCCUGUUCAUUUCCACAAAAAUGCAUUGAAAAAAUUUUGCCGUCAGGGCGUGAGGGCAGCACUGGAGGGGCGCUUUUGACCUUGACAAUUGUCAAACAAACUUCAAAUUUGAAGGUUUAUAAAUAGGUUAAAUCGGGUUAGGUUAAAUGUUUUGAACAAUUUAUUAAACGGUUAAACGUUGAAUCAUAAAUCGUAAACUCUCGAUGGUGUUAAAUGGUUGAAAAUUGCAACAAAAAGGACUAGCAAAGGUGAAAUUUUGCAAAAGGCACUUCUCGAUUUCCCAUCAACUGUUUCCCCAAAGCAAUUCUACAUCACCCCCUGUUCACGUACCUCACCUUCAAAAGUUGUACAACUGUUUUCUUGUGUUCCCAACAUUACUCCACGCGUGUUGGUGACUAUAAAAAGUUAGGUUAAAUUGGAAACAGCUUCCCGUUAAAGAGUAUGAAUUGGGAAAUUUAACAAUUUUUUUUGUAGCAAAAGGAAACAUUUGAAGGUGAGGAACGUGAUUAGGGGGUGCUGUAGAAGAAUUGUGUGCAAAUGGUUUGUCCAAAAUCGAGAAGUGCCUUUUGUAAAAUUUCACUCUAUAAUUAGAGCUAGAAGAAUAUAAAAAACAGACAAGUAUGUUUAUAAUUUUAAUACUUUUCUUGAAUGGGGUUUAUGGGUCAAAUUACUAAACAAUGCAACAUUUUCAGUUCUUGUAUAACCAAAAUUUGCAAAAAUUGGUUUCAACACUUUAGAUAAUAUUAAGUUUGCAACCAUUACUUUGUGGUUUUUAUCUUCACAAGGCAGAAAAGAUGAACUGGCAAUUGGCUCCAAUAACAAAGACUCCACCACAGUUCUUGGAUGAUGAUUUACUGAUAUAUCAAGUCAAGCAACGGGGUAGAUUUUGCGGUGGUUAGUAGUGAAUCUAAACAAUUUUUGCACUCUAACCUUUCUUCGAUUGUUCUACAAAUAUAUCCAGAUAAAAACGCAACUGAUGCAGAAUUGAUAUCUGAGAAAAUAGUAUUACUGAACGUUAAUUUAUGAAGGUCACUAAUUUUUUCAAUGAUAUUGUCAGGUAUAUGUAUAUUUGUUUCUGUUGUAGAUUUUUCAGAAGACUGAAUUUGACCAAUUUUACUUAAGUGAUUACAGUUAGAAUAUACAUUUGCUGAUUCAGAAGUUGUUACUAAACCUGAUUUAAUUAUUCUUUUAAUAGCAUAGUGUGCAGCCCUGGCAUCAGUAGCGUCCUGAGAACCACCGCAUAAUCGGACAUUGCUAAACAUUGAUUCAACUGCAUCUGAGCUAAAUGCUCGCGUUAAAACAUAAAAAAAGCCACUCUCUUCGAGUAAAUACUUGAUACAUUCUGCAGUGCUUUUGGCAGUGAAUUUUACUGCUUCUGCAGUCUCUUUAGUCAAUCCCGUCAUCUUAUUUGCCUUUGAAGAUAGUUGAAUGGAAUCCAUAUAAGCAGGUAAAGUUUUUAACAUCCAGAGAAGGCGUUCAUCAUUAAUAUCUGUAUAUGGAGCACUAUUUUCAUUUGCUUGCCGGAUGUGCUGAGUUUUGUCAUUGACAUCAUGAAUUUUAAAAAAUGUGUGCAUCAUUUCCAUAAACUUUAGAGUCUCUUCAACAUCAACAAAACCUGGAUUGUUAUAUUUUCCCAAAUACUCUAUUGCUGCUCUUACUUCUAUGGAAAAUACUUGCACAGCACGACGGACGUUCAUCUUUUCUAAAUUGGUUGGGCAAAUAUGCUUCCUGGUCAAAAACUUUACCGGUUUAACAAUUAAUUUGUGUUGCAUAUCAUAUAUUUUCUUUAAAAAUCGUGCAGAAAUAAUACCGUUACCAGAAUGCAUGUCAUGGUCCAAAAAUAUGUUCCUCAAAUUUUUAAUAAUAUGACAGUAAUCAAAGCUCAUAAAUAAUGGUAUUGUUGGUUCUAUUGGAUGUUGAAUAUGAGUCAUUAAAUUAUUACUUGAUGACAGAGAUUUGAAAAGGGCCACAUUUGACUUAUGGUUAUCUGUCACAAUUCUUAAAACUGUAAAUCCACAAUUAUGUAAAAGUUUCAUUACUUUUAACGUCAAAUUCACAAAAUCUAUGUUUUUUAGAGUUCGAUGGAAGAAAUAUCCGGCGGGUAUCGUGUACUUAGUAGUCAUGCCGUGAACAACGUAACAUAACAUUUUGUUGGCCAACGUUGGUUUUUUUCCAAUUGUUUGACUACUCUCAUUGGUAGUUUCUAACCCAUAGAAUUUGUCUUCUGUGCGGCUGUAACACAGUUUCUCCUUGAUGGACAUGUCGUCAACAAUUAAACUACAAAUCCUUUCAACGGGUUGUAGCACUUCGGCUUCUGCUUUCAAGCGUGCCUCUAUAAGUCCUGUAACAUCUUGUCCAUUUCCUAUAUACCGUUCUAAAGUACUUCGACUAGGUAAUUUCAAUAUAGAAGCUUUACCAUAGUUGUAUCCCUUUGGGGAUGAAAUCCUCCAAGCAAUACAUGAUCUUACAGUUACUUCUGACCAUCUAGAUUUUUGUUUGUUGUAAUUUAAUAUUUGGUCUAAUAGAAAUGUGGCUUUUGGGUCGUUAUUCUUGGCAUCAGCUUCAAUUUUUUCGAAUAUACGGGCUUGAUUCGUUUGAUUGUCAAUUUUUAAUUGCAGUUUUUGUAGCUGUUGAUUUUUCAGUUUGUUCUGUUUGUCCAAACGGUUUACUUUCAUUUUCAGUUUUUUGAUUUCAAGUUUAAGUUUUGAUAUAUCAUCAAGACGAAGAUCAGUAUUGGAACUUAAUGUUUGGGAUUCAUUAUAUAAGGACUCAGGUUCAGAAGGAAUUGUUGAGUGACUUAAUCAGGAUUCUACAAUUUAAAAAAAUAUAAUUAAAAUUUAUUAACUGCCAAUAAAAUAUUACUGGAGGUUCUUCUGUCGAUGUUGGACACGUGGAUGUUGAUUGGGAGGGAGGAGAUAAUCUUGGAGUAACAGUACUCUAAAAUAAAUAAUUAUUAGAGGAAAGUUCUAAAAAAAGUGUGAAAAUAGGUAGGAACAGAAAAAUAAUUUUACUCCUGACUUUAAAUUACGUUAUUAAUGUACUGUUCGCUUAUAUUUUCACAGUUGUAAGGAUUGUAAUUACAGGAAUAAUGGAUGAUGAGGGCUUGAUAUUUAAAGGAGUAGAAGACUGGGCAAGGGCAACGAAGGAUUCGUGUGUGGAUGCGUAAUAAGCAUCAUCACCCUAUAAAAACUAUAAUUUUAUUUCUGUUAAGUUUAAAAUGUAAAUAAAUAUACAUGAAAAACUGUUGGAACUGCAUUUUUUUGCAAGCGUUUACUACCAUUUGCUGCAAACUUAAAAUCUGUGGGUUUAAAGUGCAAAUUGCAAAUGGUUGAGUACUGACUGACGAUCUGCUGCGUUGGAG
Molecule: long non-coding RNA, 3391 nt
Organism: Zophobas morio
Lineage: Eukaryota; Metazoa; Arthropoda; Insecta; Coleoptera; Tenebrionidae
Exons: 2
Source: RefSeq, a predicted model, not a curated record